RNAcentral lists this ribosomal RNA (329 nucleotides) under uncultured eukaryote. RNAcentral describes it as "partial 18S ribosomal RNA". It matches the Rfam family "Eukaryotic small subunit ribosomal RNA", at positions 1470 to 1796 of the family's 1831-position model. The record is from RNAcentral.
CCCUUAGAUGUCCUGGGCCGCACGCGCGCUACACUGAGUGUCUGAGAUACGAGUCUGCCUGGUCCGGCAAGGUCUAGGUAAUCGCUAAAAGACACAUCAUGCUUGGGAUAGAUUAUUGCAAAUAUUAAUCUUGAACGAGGAAUUCCUAGUAAGCGCAAGUCAACAGCUUGCGUUGAUUACGUCCCUGCCCUUUGUACACACCGCUCGUCGCUACUACUGAUUGGAUGUUUAAGCGAGGUUCUCGAACUGCUAGCGACUUAGCUUCGGUGAGGUCGCAGUGUGGGAAGUGAACCUAGCUUUGGUGUCUAGAGGAAGUAAAAGUCGUAACA